GCCCCCAUAGCUCAGCUGGAUAGAGCGUCCCCCUCCUAAGGGGAAGGUCUCAGGUUCGAAUCCUGAUGGGGGCACCA
Molecule: transfer RNA, 77 nt
Filed under: Salinicola socius
Lineage: Bacteria; Pseudomonadati; Pseudomonadota; Gammaproteobacteria; Oceanospirillales; Halomonadaceae
Also listed under: 13 other names
Description: tRNA-Arg
Rfam family: tRNA
About the family: Transfer RNA (tRNA) molecules are approximately 80 nucleotides in length. Their secondary structure includes four short double-helical elements and three loops (D, anti-codon, and T loops).
Source: RNAcentral